Artibeus jamaicensis (Jamaican fruit-eating bat) is the source of this 104-nucleotide small nuclear RNA. NCBI's taxonomy places the organism in Eukaryota, Metazoa, Chordata, Mammalia, Chiroptera, Phyllostomidae. The record is from RefSeq and is a predicted model, not a curated record.
AUGCUGGCUUCAGCAGCACAUAUACUAAAAUUGGGAUAAUACAAAGAUUAGCAUGGACCCUGCACAAGGAUGACAAACAGAUUUGUGAAGCAUUCCAUGUUUUC